RNAcentral lists this ribosomal RNA (478 nucleotides) under uncultured bacterium. RNAcentral describes it as "partial 16S ribosomal RNA". It matches the Rfam family "Bacterial small subunit ribosomal RNA", at positions 28 to 523 of the family's 1533-position model. The record is from RNAcentral.
GACGAACGCUGGCGGCGCGCUUAACAUAUGCAAGUCGAACGGUAAGGCCCUUCGGGGUACACGAGUGGCGAACGGGUGAGUAACACGUGGGUGAUCUGCCCUGCACUUCGGGAUAAGCCUGGGAAACUGGGUCUAAUACCGGAUAGGACCACUGCCUGCAUGGGUGGUGGUGGAAAGCUUUUGCGGUGUGGGAUGGGCCCGCGGCCUAUCAGCUUGUUGGUGGGGUGAUGGCCUACCAAGGCGACGACGGGUAGCCGGCCUGAGAGGGUGACCGGCCACACUGGGACUGAGAUACGGCCCAGACUCCUACGGGAGGCAGCAGUGGGGAAUAUUGCACAAUGGGCGCAAGCCUGAUGCAGCGACGCCGCGUGAGGGAUGACGGCCUUCGGGUUGUAAACCUCUUUCAGCACCGACGAAGCGCAAGUGACGGUAGGUGCAGAAGAAGGACCGGCCAACUACGUGCCAGCAGCCGCCGCAG